CCAAUAGCGUAUAUUAAAGUUGUUGCAGUUAAAAAGCUCGUAGUUGAAUUUCGAGACCGGUUUAUUGGUCGUGCUUUUGUACGUACUGGUAUAAUCGGUUUCUCUCUUCUGACGAACUAUAAUGCCAUUAAUUUGGUGUUAUGGGAAAUCAGGACUGUUACUUUGAAAAAAUUAGAGUGUUUAAAGCAGGCUCACGCUUGAAUACAUUAGCAUGGAAUAA
This 220-nucleotide ribosomal RNA is filed under the name uncultured Glomus. RNAcentral describes it as "partial small subunit ribosomal RNA". It matches the Rfam family "Eukaryotic small subunit ribosomal RNA", at positions 591 to 817 of the family's 1831-position model. The record is from RNAcentral. Lineage: Eukaryota; Fungi; Glomeromycota; Glomeromycetes; Glomerales; Glomeraceae.